RNAcentral lists this unclassified non-coding RNA (240 nucleotides) under soil metagenome. Its description in RNAcentral is "partial contains 5.8S ribosomal RNA, internal transcribed spacer 2, and large subunit ribosomal RNA". The record is from RNAcentral.
AACAAGGCGUACCUGCGGACCUGCGGAGGGAUCAUUAAAGAAUUCGACCUCCGGGUCUUUUUCUUCUCUCACAGCUGUGCGCUUCGGCUGCACGCCGUGGGAUAAACCUCACACACCCUGUGCACACUUCGGUUGCCGACGUCCUCGCGGACGGAAGCUUCCGCUUUCACAUUUAACAACAGUCCAGAAUGUCACACACUUUAAAAAUAACAACUUUUAACAAUGGAUCUCAGAUCGGAA